CAGGCUUAACACAUGCAAGUCGAGGGGCAGCAUGGUCUUAGCUUGCUAAGGCCGAUGGCGACCGGCGCACGGGUGAGUAACACGUAUCCAACCUGCCGUCUACUCUUGGACAGCCUUCUGAAAGGAAGAUUAAUACAAGAUGGCAUCAUGAGUCCGCAUGUUCACAUGAUUAAAGGUAUUCCGGUAGACGAUGGGGAUGCGUUCCAUUAGAUAGUAGGCGGGGUAACGGCCCACCUAGUCUUCGAUGGAUAGGGGUUCUGAGAGGAAGGUCCCCCACAUUGGAACUGAGACACGGUCCAAACUCCUACGGGAGGCAGCAGUGAGGAAUAUUGGUCAAUGGGCGAGAGCCUGAACCAGCCAAGUAGCGUGAAGGAUGACUGCCCUAUGGGUUGUAAACUUCUUUUAUAAAGGAAUAAAGUCGGGUAUGGAUACCCGUUUGCAUGUACUUUAUGAAUAAGGAUCGGCUAACUCCGUGCCAGCAGCCGCGGUAAUACGGAGGAUCCGAGCGUUAUCCGGAUUUAUUGGGUUUAAAGGGAGCGUAGAUGGAUGUUUAAGUCAGUUGUGAAAGUUUGCGGCUCAACCGUAAAAUUGCAGUUGAUACUGGAUAUCUUGAGUGCAGUUGAGGCAGGCGGAAUUCGUGGUGUAGCGGUGAAAUGCUUAGAUAUCACGAAGAACUCCGAUUGCGAAGGCAGCCUGCUAAGCUGCAACUGACAUUGAGGCUCGAAAGUGUGGGUAUCAAACAGGAUUAGAUACCCUGGUAGUCCACACGGUAAACGAUGAAUACUCGCUGUUUGCGAUAUACUGCAAGCGGCCAAGCGAAAGCGUUAAGUAUUCCACCUGGGGAGUACGCCGGCAACGGUGAAACUCAAAGGAAUUGACGGGGGCCCGCACAAGCGGAGGAACAUGUGGUUUAAUUCGAUGAUACGCGAGGAACCUUACCCGGGCUUAAAUUGCAGAUGAAUUACGGUGAAAGCCGUAAGCCGCAAGGCAUCUGUGAAGGUGCUGCAUGGUUGUCGUCAGCUCGUGCCGUGAGGUGUCGGCUUAAGUGCCAUAACGAGCGCAACCCUUGUUGUCAGUUACUAACAGGUUCCGCUGAGGACUCUGACAAGACUGCCAUCGUAAGAUGUGAGGAAGGUGGGGAUGACGUCAAAUCAGCACGGCCCUUACGUCCGGGGCUACACACGUGUUACAAUGGGGGGUACAGAGGGUCGCUACCACGCGAGUGGAUGCCAAUCCCCAAAACCUCUCUCAGUUCGGACUGGAGCCUGCAACCCGACUCCACGAAGCUGGAUUCGCUAGUAAUCGCGCAUCAGCCACGGCGCGGUGAAUACGUUCCCGGGCCUUGUACACACCGCCCGUCAAGCCAUGGGAGCCGGGGGUACCUGAAGUGCGUAACCGCGAGGAGCGCCCUAGGGUAAAACUGGUGACUGGGGC
Molecule: ribosomal RNA, 1434 nt
Filed under: uncultured organism
Description: 16S ribosomal RNA
Rfam family: Bacterial small subunit ribosomal RNA
Source: RNAcentral